This is a non-coding RNA of Picea glauca (white spruce), 84 nucleotides long. The record is from Rfam. NCBI's taxonomy places the organism in Eukaryota, Viridiplantae, Streptophyta, Pinopsida, Pinales, Pinaceae.
UUUCUGUGAUGAUGAAUGUUAGAAAUAUUACACACUUCGGAGAUGGACACCAUCGAUGAGACAAAUGUUCAUUAUGAGCAGAAU